CCUACGGGAGGCAGCAGUAGGGAAUCUUUCACAAUGGGCGAAAGCAUGAUGGAGCAACGCCGCGUGCAGGAUGAAGGCCUUCGGGUUGUAAACUGCUUUUAUAAGCGAGAAAUAUGAUGGUAACUUAUGAAUAAGGAUCGGCUAACUACGUGCCAGCAGCCGCGGUCAUACGUAGGAUCCGGGCAUUAUCCGGAGUGACUGGGUGUAAAGAGUUGCGUAGGUGGCAUAAUAAGUAGCUAGGGAAAUCUGGUGGCUCAACCAUUCAGACUAUUAGCUAAACUGUUAAGCUCGAGACCGUUAGGGGUAACUGGAAUUUCUAGUGUAGGAGUGAAAUCCGUAGAUAUUAGAAGGAACACCAAUAGCGUAGGCAGGUUGCUGGGACGGUUCUGACACUAAGGCACGAAAGCGUAGGGAGCAAACGGGAUUAGAUACCCCAGUAGUC
RNAcentral lists this ribosomal RNA (442 nucleotides) under uncultured bacterium. Its description in RNAcentral is "partial 16S ribosomal RNA". It matches the Rfam family "Bacterial small subunit ribosomal RNA", at positions 338 to 795 of the family's 1533-position model. The record is from RNAcentral.